This 255-nucleotide ribosomal RNA is filed under the name uncultured bacterium. RNAcentral's name for it is "partial 16S ribosomal RNA". It matches the Rfam family "Bacterial small subunit ribosomal RNA", at positions 526 to 779 of the family's 1533-position model. The record is from RNAcentral.
CGUAGGGGCAAGCGUUAUCCGGAUUUACUGGGGUGUAAAGGGAGCGUAGACGGCACGGCAAGCCAGAUGUGAAAGCCCGGGGCUCAACCCCGGGACUGCAUUUGGAACUGCUGAGCUAGAGUGUCGGAGAGGCAAGUGGAAUUCCUAGUGUAGCGGUGAAAUGCGUAGAUAUUAGGAGGAACACCAGUGGCGAAGGCGGCUUGCUGGACGAUGACUGACGUUGAGGCUCGAAAGCGUGGGGGAGCAAACAGGAUU